This 475-nucleotide ribosomal RNA is filed under the name Streptococcus iniae. RNAcentral describes it as "bacterial SSU rRNA". It matches the Rfam family "Bacterial small subunit ribosomal RNA", at positions 34 to 491 of the family's 1533-position model. Lineage: Bacteria; Bacillati; Bacillota; Bacilli; Lactobacillales; Streptococcaceae. The record is from RNAcentral.
CGCUGGCGGCGUGCCUAAUACAUGCAAGUAGAACGCUGAGGAUUGGUGCUUGCACUAAUCCAAAGAGUUGCGAACGGGUGAGUAACGCGUAGGUAACCUACCUCAUAGCGGGGGAUAACUAUUGGAAACGAUAGCUAAUACCGCAUGAYACUAGAGUACACAUGUACUCAAGUUAAAAGGAGCAAAUGCUUCACUAUGAGAUGGACCUGCGUUGUAUUAGCUAGUUGGUGAGGUAACGGCUCACCAAGGCGACGAUACAUAGCCGACCUGAGAGGGUGAUCGGCCACACUGGGACUGAGACACGGCCCAGACUCCUACGGGAGGCAGCAGUAGGGAAUCUUCGGCAAUGGACGGAAGUCUGACCGAGCAACGCCGCGUGAGUGAAGAAGGUUUUCGGAUCGUAAAGCUCUGUUGUUAGAGAAGAACGGUAAUGGGAGUGGAAAAUCCAUUACGUGACGGUAACUAACCAGAAAAG